RNAcentral lists this ribosomal RNA (253 nucleotides) under uncultured bacterium. RNAcentral describes it as "partial 16S ribosomal RNA". It matches the Rfam family "Bacterial small subunit ribosomal RNA", at positions 524 to 776 of the family's 1533-position model. The record is from RNAcentral.
UACGGAGGGUGCAAGCGUUAUCCGGAUUUACUGGGGUUAAAGGGUGCGUAGGUGGAUAAUUAAGUCAGUGGUGAAAUCUUCAGGCUUAACCUGGAAACUGCCAUUGAUACUAUUUGUCUUGAAUACUUUGGAGGUAAGCGGAAUAUGUCAUGUAGCGGUGAAAUGCUUAGAUAUGACAUAGAACACCAAUUGCGAAGGCAGCUUACUACACAGUAAUUGACACUGAGGCACGAAAGCGUGGGGAUCAAACAGG